GACGAACGCUGGCGGCGUGCCUAAUACAUGCAAGUCGAGCGGACAAUUGAGAGCUUGCUCUCAAUUGUUAGCGGCGGACGGGUGAGUAACACGUGGGCAACCUGCCCUGUAGACUGGGAUAACUUCGGGAAACCGAAGCUAAUACCGGAUAAUCUUUAGCGUCACAUGGCGCAAAAGUAAAAGUUGGGUUUACCUAACACUACAGGAUGGGCCCGCGGCGCAUUAGCUAGUUGGUAAGGUAAUGGCUUACCAAGGCGACGAUGCGUAGCCGACCUGAGAGGGUGAUCGGCCACACUGGGACUGAGACACGGCCCAGACUCCUACGGGAGGCAGCAGUAGGGAAUCUUCCGCAAUGGACGAAAGUCUGACGGAGCAACGCCGCGUGAACGAUGAAGGCUUUCGGGUCGUAAAGUUCUGUUGUUAGGGAAGAAACAAAGUACCCGUUCAA
This 448-nucleotide ribosomal RNA is filed under the name Bacillus sp. oral taxon F14. RNAcentral describes it as "bacterial SSU rRNA". It matches the Rfam family "Bacterial small subunit ribosomal RNA", at positions 28 to 464 of the family's 1533-position model. Lineage: Bacteria; Bacillati; Bacillota; Bacilli; Caryophanales; Bacillaceae. The record is from RNAcentral.